GAGCACGUAGGUGGGUUUGUAAGUCAGAUGUGAAAGCCUUCUGUUCAACGGAAGAAUUGCAUCUGAAACUGCGAGUCUUGAGUGUAGGAGGGGAGAAUGGAACUUCUGGUGGAGCGGUGAAAUGCGUAGAUAUCAGAAGGAACGCCGGCGGCGAAAGCGAUUCUCUGACCUAUUACUGACACUCAGUGUGCGAAAGCUAGGGGAGCAAACGGGAUUAGAUACCCCGGUAGUCCUAGCCGUAAACGAUGGGCACUAAGUAGAGGGAAUUACCGAUAUUCUCUCUGCCGUAGCUAACGCAUUAAGUGCCCCGCCUGGGGAGUACGGCCGCAAGGCUAAAACUCAAAAGAAUUGACGGGGGCUCGCACAAGCGGUGGAGCAUGUGGCUUAAUUCGAUGCAACGCGAAAAACCUUACCGGGGCUUGACAUGGUAGAAGUAGGAACCCGAAAGGGUAACGAACGGUAUCCAGUCCGUAGCUAUUACAGGUGUUGCAUGGCUGUCGUCAGCUCGUGUCGUGAGACGUUGGGUUAAGUCCCCUAACGAGCGAAACCCUUAUUUUUAGUUGCCAUCGGGUUGUGCCGGGCACUCUAGAAAGACUGCCGUCGUCAAGACGGAGGAAAGGUGGGGGACGACGUCAAGUCAUCAUGGCCCUUAUGCCCCGGGCUGCACACGUGCUACAAUGGUCGGUACAAACGGAAGCGAAGCCGAGAGGUGAAGCGAAUCC
This 722-nucleotide ribosomal RNA is filed under the name uncultured Candidatus Scalindua sp. Its description in RNAcentral is "bacterial SSU rRNA". It matches the Rfam family "Bacterial small subunit ribosomal RNA", at positions 565 to 1274 of the family's 1533-position model. Lineage: Bacteria; Pseudomonadati; Planctomycetota; Candidatus Brocadiia; Candidatus Brocadiales; Candidatus Scalinduaceae. The record is from RNAcentral.